AUGGCCGAGCCCGAGCCCCCCGCGGCGGCCCGGCGCUGGCGAGACGCCGCCCUGCGCGCACGGAAGCUGCGGAGCAACCUGCGGCAGCUGAGCCUGGGCCCCCGCGAGGAGCCGGAGCCCGCCGGGCCGCCCGUGCUUCGCCGCCCGCCGCUGCCCGCUGGGCCGGGCGAGCCGGUGGCGCUGAGCCUGAGCGGGCGCGGCCUGGAGGAGCUGCCCGAGGGGCUGGGCGCCGCGCUGGGCGGCCUGCGCGUCCUCAGCCUGCGCAGGAACCGCCUGUCCCGGCUUCCCCCCGCGCUGCGCCACCUGGGCCGCCUGGCCGAGCUCGACCUCAGCCACAACCGGCUCGGCGGCCUGGGGGACGGCGAGGCGCUGGCGCCGCUGCGGGAGCUGCGCAAGCUGAGCCUGAGCCACAACCAGCUGGGCGCGGACGGCGCGGCGCUGCCCGGGCGGCUGGGCGCGCUGCGGCAGCUGGAGGAGCUGGACCUGAGCUUCAACCGCCUGCGCCGCCUGCCCGAGGCGCUGGGCCGCCUGCAGCGGCUGCGCUCGCUGGACGUGGACCACAACCAGCUGCCCGCCUUCCCGGCGCCGCUGCUGGAGCUGGGCGCGCUGGAGGAGCUGGACUGCUCUGGCAACCGGCAGCUGCGCGUCCUGCCCGAGGGCAUCGCUGCCUUGCGCUGCCUUAAGAUCCUGUGGCUGAGCGGCACGGGGCUGGGCACCCUGCCCGAGGGACUGUGCCAGCUGGGCGCCCUGGAGAGCCUCAUGCUGGACGGGAACCAACUGCGGGUCCUGCCCCCCGGCUUCGGCCGCCUGCAGCGCCUCAAGAUGCUGAACCUCUCCUCCAACUUGCUGGGUGAGUUCCCCGAGGCCGUGCUUGCCCUGCCCAGCCUGGAGGAGCUCUACCUGAGCCGCAACCAGCUCCCCCUGCUGCCUGCCCGCCUCUGCCAGCUGCAUCAGCUCCGCACCCUCUGGUUGGACAACAACCGCAUCCGCUACCUGCCCGACUCCAUUGUGCAGCUCCACAGCCUGGAGGAACUCGUGCUGCAGGGCAACCAGAUCGCCAUCCUGCCCGAGGGCUUUGGGCAGCUCUCCCGGGUCACCCUCUGGAAGAUCAAGGACAACCCGCUCAUCCAGCCCCCUUACGAGGUUUGCAUGAAGGGCAUCCCCUACAUUGCCGCUUACCAGCAGGAGUUGGCACACUCCCAACCUGCUCUCAAGCCCCGCCUCAAGCUGGUCCUCAUGGGCCUGAAGGAUGCUGGCAAGACCCUGCUGAGAAGGUGCCUGAUGGAGGAGGAGAGGCAGAGAGACUCUACCCUGGCUGCAGCUGGCAAAGAUGCUGGGAGAACCCAGCAGCAACGAGACAUCACCCUGGGCCUGAUUCCCGACGGUGUUGCGAAAAUACAGCUAGGACAUAGCGCCAUUACUGAGCCCCGAGAUGCUUCGUCUGCAAAAGGCUCCUCGCUAGGAUAUGCCUCCAUUGAGCAGCAGGACCCACUGCUGUCCCCGUCCCUUAAAGUUGCUGGGAAAAUCAAGUUAGAGCACCAGGACGGCUGCCUGUCUCCAUCCCCAAAAGUUAAUGGGGAAGCCCAGAUAGGACACUUCCCCAUGCUGCUGGAGCGAGACGCCCCCCUGACACCAUUGGUUGCAGGACUUCCAGGCACCAGCCAGGGCAUCGAGGUGACGGACUGGACGGCAGAUGUAGAGAGGGGUCUGACCUUCAUUGUAUAUGAGCUGGCGGGUGACCCUAGCUACGAUGUGAUCCAAUCCUUCUUCCUUUCGCCAGGAGCCCUGUAUGUGCUGGUGGUGAACCUGAGUGCCUACACCCCACAUUGCUUCUACUCUGCAGUGGGCUACUUCCUGCACUGGCUAGGUGCCAAAGUGCCCCAUGCUGUAGUGUGCAUGGUGGGCACCCAUGCUGACCUGUGUGCUGAGCGGGAACUGGAGGAGAAGUGCCUGGACAUCCACCACCAAAUUGCCCUGCAGGAGAAGCGGGAUGCUGAGGGACUCCAGAGUUUGGCCCAGCAGGUGGACAAUGCCCUAGGACAGGACUUUGACCUGCGUUGCUCCAGCCCCCACACUGCCUUCUAUGGGGUUUCAGACAAGAACCUGCGGCGCAAGAAGGCCCAGUUCCAGUAUCUGCUCAACCACCGGCCGCAGAUCCUCUCGCCGGUGCUGCCCAUCAGCUGCCAGGACCACUACCAGGUGCGCCGCCUGCGGGACAAGCUUCUGUCAGUAGCUGAGCAUCGGGACAUCUUCCCAAACCUGCACCGGGUGCUACCCAAGUCCUGGCAGGUGCUGGAAGAGCUGCACUUCCAGCCGCAGGCUCAGCAACUGUGGCUCAGCUGGUGGGAUUCAGCGCGGCUGGGCUUGCAGGCAGGCCUGACCGAGGAUCGACUCCAGAGCGCCCUGUCCUAUCUGCAUGAAAGUGGCAAGCUGCUGUACUUCGAGGAGCAUCUGACUCUGCGGGAGUAUGUAUUUCACAAUCUGCCCAGGCUCAUUGACAUCCUCAAUGUCUUCUGCCAGCAGGACACCACGGUGCUGCUCCAGAAACUGCUCAGUGACACCCAUAUAGAUGAACUGAGAACCACCCAGCUCCACCACUACGUGGAAGGGUUCCUGCUGCAUGGGCUCCUUCCUGCCCAUGUUAUCCGCCUGCUUCUUAAGCCCCAUAUCCAGAGCCGGGAGGACCUGCAGCUUAUCCUGGAGCUGCUGGAGAAAAUGGGGCUCUGCUACUGCAUCAAUAAGCCCAAAUGCAAACCCCUGAAUGGGGCCACUGCCUGGUACAAGUUCCCCUGCUAUGUGAAGAACGAGGUGCCCCAUGCAGAGGCAUGGAUUAAUGGUACAAACCUGAGUGGACAGUCUCUUGUCAUUGAACAGUUGCAGAUUGAAUACACCUUCCCCUUCAUUUUCCCACCUGGGUUAUUUGCACGCUACAGUGUCCAGAUUAACAGCCAUGUGGUUCAGCGGUCUGAUGGCAAAUAUCAGAUUUAUGCCUACAGGGGGAAGGUGCCUGUGGUGGUGAGUUACAGGCCUGCUAGGAGUACUCUGCAACCAGAUACUCUGUCUAUUGCUAGUCACGCAUCUCUACCAAAUAUAUGGACAGCCUGGCAAGCUAUUACCCCCUUAGUGGAAGAAUUGAAUGUACUGCUUCAAGAAUGGCCAGGUCUGUACUACACUGUGCACAUCCUCUGUUCCAAGUGCCUUAAAAGAGGAUUGCUGAACCCCUACGCUUUUCCAGGAGAAUUGCUGAGUCAGCCUAGACCAGAGGGAGUGACGGAGAUAAUCUGCCCCAGGAAUGGCAGCGAGCGAGUCAAUGUCGCCUUGGUUUACCCCCCAACCCCGACACUCAUCAGCCCUUGUUCCAAGUGAGCUCUGAGAGACGCACGGACCCCCAAUUUCAGUACACGCCAAAAACCCUACAUAAGACAAGCCCUCGCUAAGCAUUUUUGAAAACUAGCUGCCACAGAGCCCAGGGACUGUUCUAAUUAUUAGUGGGAUGUGGACAUCCCCUUCUCAGAAUAAAGAUGAAUGGUAAUGCUAGUGCUAAAGGUUUUAUAUCGGGCGGCGUGUGAAACUGCGGUGUGGCUGAAGGAUCUGUAGUGCUACUGUCUCUCUUGGGUUUGGAGUUCUGCCUUUACAAUGAGACCAGACUUUGGAACUCUGAACUAUUUGAAGUGGGAACACAGCUAAGUGUGUCUCUCCUGAGAUACCCUUGAGAACUUAAGUGUACAGUGCAAUCUGAAGGUCACUGAUGACCAGAUGUGACGUGAAACAAUAGUCUUGCAGCAAUCAGAUGGCAGCAUUAUUGGCUGGAGAUGAAACACUGGGAUUGAAAUUUUGUGGACCCUUUGAUUACCUGCUGUGCACCCAUUUGGACCUGUUGAUGAAUGUAAAAAUGUUCUCAGUGCUGUUUCAUUCAGAUGUAACUGAAGAAAAGUCAGUUGAGACUUGCUGUUGUGGAGCUUCAUGGAGUUGUUUCCUUACAGAGGAAGAAACUAGUGAUUUGUUGCUGUGAUAAGUGAGGAAAAGAAAACUCCAGACUGGAAUCUCUUUCCCAGCUGGAGGACCAUUUCCUGAUAACUCAGCGUGAUCUAUGGACACACUAACAAGAAGAGUUCAGAUGUUUUCAAGGAAUAAAUGCCGUGGCUUGGUAAAGCAGAACUGAGUAAAUGUUUUACACCUGAACCUCAGAAUCAUGAUCAUCCUCCAAGGAAGAGCUGCUUGACAAACGAACAGUGUGAACGGCUUCUCAGGGAUUCUGUUUGCUGUACACAAAUAGCCAUAAUGUCGGGAUUGAUGGCAGUAUUUAGAGCACUCCAGUUUGGUUCUAUUUCAUGUGGAAGCGGGAUCACUCAUCUGAAGUUCACUGCUGUUCAGUAACUAGUGUAGAACAAUGUGGUUUAUCUUUAUUUUUGUAAUGUGCAAAACCAUUUAAUUUUCUACACAGUUUAAAGCUUCUAGCAUU
This is an RNA transcript of Emys orbicularis (European pond turtle), 4462 nucleotides long. It is a transcript of the gene named multifunctional ROCO family signaling regulator 1, with no coding region annotated. NCBI's taxonomy places the organism in Eukaryota, Metazoa, Chordata, Testudines, Emydidae. The record is from RefSeq and is a predicted model, not a curated record. The transcript has 4 exons.